This 326-nucleotide ribosomal RNA is filed under the name uncultured eukaryote. RNAcentral's name for it is "partial 18S ribosomal RNA". It matches the Rfam family "Eukaryotic small subunit ribosomal RNA", at positions 1470 to 1796 of the family's 1831-position model. The record is from RNAcentral.
CCCCUAGAUGUUCUGGGCCGCACGCGCGCUACACUGAAUGGAUCAACGUGUUUUCCCUUCCCGAGAGGGACGGGUAACCCGCUGAACCCCAUUCGUGGUAGGGAUCGGAGCUUGCAAUUGUUCUCCGUGAACCAGGAAUUCCCAGUAAGCGCAAGUCAUAAGCUUGCGUUGAUUACGUCCCUGCCCUUUGUACACACCGCCCGUCGCUACUACCGAUUGAAUGUUUUAGUGAGGCCUCGGGACUGGCGCCUCAGAGCUGGCAACAGCACCGGGGCGCCGGGAACUUGAACAAACUUGAGCAUUUAGAGGAAGUAAAANUCGUANCA